Vicia villosa (hairy vetch) is the source of this 692-nucleotide long non-coding RNA. RefSeq lists it as uncharacterized. The record is from RefSeq and is a predicted model, not a curated record. NCBI's taxonomy places the organism in Eukaryota, Viridiplantae, Streptophyta, Magnoliopsida, Fabales, Fabaceae. The transcript has 4 exons.
UUUCUUUCUUCUUCUUUGAUUUCAUCUUCCUGUAUGGUGUCUGCGGCUGCGUCGAUCUUGGCCGGAAGGAUGAUGCUCGCGGUGAUUAGUUUCGCUUUCUCACGACCCUUCAGAGUUGUCGGGUUUAAUUAAACGGUUCUCGAUGUCAAUACAGAAGCUUGAUCUGCAGACAAAUCACGAUACAUAACGUAUCCAACCCAAAACGCGAAAGAGAUUUGAAGAAAAUACCGGUCUGUUAUGGGAGCACAAAAUCGAGAUUUAAUUAAAAAUCAUAGUGAAAAUAUCAACCACAAAAUACAGCAAGAAUCAAUCAGAUGCACAAUUCAAUUUUAUUUAGAUUCAAACACAAUAAAGCAGAGCAACAAUAAUUCGAGUGAAUUUUACAGGGAAGGGUUCAAAAUAACUCAAUACGAAAUUGGAAUUUCAUCACAAUAAAGAUGAAACUCUCAAUUAGCAGAGGUUGCCCUUAGUGAGGGUAUGCACUUAGCUUCUGCUGGUACGUUCGGGUUGUCUUCUUUGUGUAUGCACUUAGCUUCUGUAGGUACGUUCGAGUUGUCUAUUUUAUGUCCCCGGAGCGUAACACUUGCAGUCACAGGACUUUUUAUAGUGCAAUGUGAUUAGGGUUAGGGAUGGUGAGACCGUGGCAUUAAGUUUGAAUUCUUGACUUUUCUUUUAACUCCCAAUUCCGUGUG